AUGCGCCCGGCAAUCCCCGAGGAGGACGGCGACGGCGGAAGGGGCCUCGACAAGGGCUUCGGCUUCAACAAGGGCUUCGCCGCCAAGUACGACCUCGGGGACGAGGUCGGGAGGGGCCACUUCGGCUACACCUGCGCCGCCAGGAUCAGGAAGGGGGCGCGCAAGGGGGACGCCGUCGCCGUCAAGCUCAUCCCCAAGGCCAAGGUGAUGACCUGCCCGCAACCUCUGCAAACCCUUGAGUUUGGAUCCCUUCGCUAG
Molecule: ribosomal RNA, 258 nt
Filed under: Triticum aestivum (bread wheat)
Lineage: Eukaryota; Viridiplantae; Streptophyta; Magnoliopsida; Poales; Poaceae
Description: partial small subunit ribosomal RNA
Source: RNAcentral